GAGUUUGAUCCUGGCUCAGAACGAACGCUGGCGGCGUGCUUAACACAUGCAAGUCGAACGUGAUCCGGAGCUUGCUCCGGUGAAAGUGGCGCACGGGUGAGUAACGCGUGGAUAAUCUGCCCUGGUAUCUGGGAUAACAUCUCGAAAGGGGUGCUAAUACCGGAUAAGCCUACGGACUCCUCGGAGUCUGCAGGAAAAGGAGGCCUCUAUUUAUAAGCUUCCGUAUCAUGAUGGGUCCGCGUACCAUUAGCUAGUUGGUGGGGUAAUGGCCUACCAAGGCGACGAUGGUUAGCUGGUCUGAGAGGAUGAUCASCCACACUGGAACUGAGACACGGUCCAGACUCCUACGGGAGGCAGCAGUGGGGAAUUUUGCGCAAUGGGGGAAACCCUGACGCAGCAACGCCGCGUGAGUGAUGAAGGCUUUCGGGUCGUAAAGCUCUGUCAGAGGGGAAGAAAUGAGUCUGGCUAAUAUCCAGAUUUCUUGACGGUACCCUCAAAGGAAGCACCGGCUAACUCCGUGCCAGCAGCCGCGGUAAUAC
RNAcentral lists this ribosomal RNA (539 nucleotides) under uncultured Geobacteraceae bacterium. Its description in RNAcentral is "bacterial SSU rRNA". It matches the Rfam family "Bacterial small subunit ribosomal RNA", at positions 9 to 526 of the family's 1533-position model. The record is from RNAcentral. Lineage: Bacteria; Pseudomonadati; Thermodesulfobacteriota; Desulfuromonadia; Geobacterales; Geobacteraceae.